RNAcentral lists this non-coding RNA (26 nucleotides) under Mus musculus (house mouse). The record is from RNAcentral. Lineage: Eukaryota; Metazoa; Chordata; Mammalia; Rodentia; Muridae.
UGUGGUUGCUUUCUUUGCCUUGGGGU